This is a non-coding RNA of Patiria miniata (bat star), 73 nucleotides long. NCBI's taxonomy places the organism in Eukaryota, Metazoa, Echinodermata, Asteroidea, Valvatida, Asterinidae. The record is from the annotation of a RefSeq genome assembly.
GACUGGAUGGCUCAGUUGGUAGAGCACUGGAAUCGUCAUCCGGAGGAGGCAGGUUCAAACCCUGUUCCAGUCA